RNAcentral lists this ribosomal RNA (554 nucleotides) under uncultured Actinomycetes bacterium. RNAcentral's name for it is "bacterial SSU rRNA". It matches the Rfam family "Bacterial small subunit ribosomal RNA", at positions 8 to 564 of the family's 1533-position model. Lineage: Bacteria; Bacillati; Actinomycetota; Actinomycetes. The record is from RNAcentral.
AGAGUUUGAUCCUGGCUCAGGACGAACGCUGGCGGCGUGCUUAAUGCAUGCAAGUCGAACGAGAUCCUCCCGCUGGGUAACCAAUGGGAACGAUCUAGUGGCGAACGGGUGAGUAACACGUGAGGAAUCUGCCCCGAAGACCGGAAUAGCCCAGGGAAACUUGGAUUAAUACCGGAUACCCUCGUAGGACCGCAUGGUCUUGCGAGGAAAUGGUCCGCCGCUUCGGGAUGACCUCGGGUCCUAUCAGCUUGUUGGUGAGGUAACGGCUCACCAAGGCAAUGACGGGUAGCUGGUCUGAGAGGACGAUCAGCCACACUGGGACUGAGACACGGCCCAGACUCCUACGGGAGGCAGCAGCAGGGAAUAUUGCGCAAUGGGCGAAAGCCUGACGCAGCGACGCCGCGUGCGGGAUGAAGGCCUUCGGGUCGUAAACCGCUUUCAGUGGGGAAGAAGCGAAAGUGACGGUACCCACAGAAGAAGCCCCGGCCAACUACGUGCCAGCAGCCGCGGUAAUACGUGGGGGGCGAGCGUUGUCCGGAUUUAUUGGGCGUAAA